UAGGUGAGCCUUGAGCAAAAGAUAAUUUCAUUGCCCAACUCUAUCAAGUCACCUAGAGGCUGCCAUCGACACUCACCACUGAUAUGGAUGCAUUGAAGCGGACUUAUGUUGGUUUUUAUUCCACUUGGUAUUUUGCCUGGUUGACCUGCUUGAACCAUCUGCACCCUACUGAGCACUGGCUGCUGCUGGCUUGGAGUUCCUGCCAUCUGUACUUGCUGUAGUCCUUCUUUUUGCCUCAGUCUCCCACAGUGCUGAGAUUAAAAGUGUGUACCUCCAUGCUCAACUCUGAUUUUUAAUUAUUGCAUCUUAUUCUAUUAAAAUAUAACCAACAUAAAAUCAGAAAUCAUGUCUGUCUUCACUAUAUUUCCAAUAUUUAAUUCAGUCCUUAAUAUGAAGUAGUUGCUCGGUAGAUUUUCUGGAUGGAUGGAAAUCUAGAUGAAUAGAUUGAUGAAAAGAAGGGAUGGGUUGGUGGGUGGAUGUUUGGAUGAUGGAAGAACAGAUGAUCCAGUAGGAAGUAAGAAUAACUGCAGGAAUGAGAAAGUUGUGCUCCAUAAAUAUUUUCUGGAUAAUUGGAUGCACGGAUACGUUGGUGGCUGGGUGCAAUGAUGGGCGAAAAAGAAUACUUGAUUGGAGGUAAGCCUGGAUGAAGAGCCUCAAGUGGAGGGUUAGAAUUUCAGCUCCUCUUUCCCAGGGGGCGCUGCGGGGCCACUCGCACGGGCCUGGCCUGGCAGAGAGGCGCCGCUCUAGGCUGUAGCCGACGCGAGGCCGCAGUUCCGCAGAGACUGCGGAGCGAGAACUCAGUCCUCCUGCUCCGUCCCGGUCUACAGCCUGUACUCAUGCUGUGCUCUGUGUACCCUGCUGCCUUCCGUCCCGGCAUCCGGCUAAGUCACUCAGGGCGUGCUCUGCGCAAGGCUCCCAAGUACGGCGCAGGGAAACUGAAGCAUCUACUCGCCGGGGCCUCAGCCUCCCGCGGCUCGCGUGUUCCAGGCCUUGGUCGCUCCGGGCUGACCGUCCCUGAGCGGUGUCAGAGGCGCCUUUGCCUCCCGAGGUCACCCUGUCUGGUCGGAGACCACACGCCCCCCGUGGUCUCUCACGCCCGCUUCCCGGCCUCGGAGCUGUGGCAUUCUAAGCCCGGAAUUUACUUGUCGCUUGUCGACACGGGGUCUGUGUUGUGUUGUGUCCUAGAUCAGUUGACUGAUUUUCACCAAAAGCCUUCCAAAGCCAGGUCUAAAACUUCCUUUUGCACAAUCUGGCCGAGGUUUCGGUUGAAGACUCUCCCGAGGCCGUAGGGUACAGCGUCCAAACUGCCCUCUCUUGCACUGAAGCCCCUUCCUCUUCUUUCCCCUGCUUAGACCUUGCUGUUGAGCCCAAUGGAAACUACCCUGUGGCGGCGCUGCCGGUUCUGCAACAGCCAGCGCCCCUGCUCUCCCCGCCCCACGGACCGGAUGUCCCGAGGUGACAACUUGGUGUAAAUGGGUCAUGAGAGGUGUCCAUCUUGCCAGGAAGCAGCUGGACCAUGGUGCUCCUGAGUGAGGUGUGUUCCCUGGAGGUUGGAGACUUCUGGAGAUUUCAACUGUGAUGUGGUCCAGAAAGCAGAUGGACGUGAGAUGAAGGCACCAUCAUCCUGGCCCCUGGUUUACCCUCCCUGGGGCUUUGAGAUGCAUGUGAUUCCCUUUGGUGUGCAGGUUUGGGUCUGGAAUCAAUAGGGAUCCCUUCCUUCCUUGGGUGUGUUGGCAACAGAAUGUCUGAGUCAAAAGCAGAAAGGAUUUCUCACCUAUACUCAGGUCUUAGCUACUUUGUUUUUGCUUCCUAGCUUUGGGACCUUUUCUCAUCCUCAUUUUCAUCCACUAGAAAGCAGGGAUAUGAUGAGACAGGGUUUUUGGGGUCACAACUCCCUGUUUUCCCUCAAUGUAAGAACUUCUAUCAGCUAGCUAGCUUGCUUUCUUUCUUUCUUUCUUUCUUUCUUUUCUUUCUUUUCUUUCUUUCUUUCUUUUUUGUAGUUUAUUUGAGACACGGUCUCUCUUAUGUAGUUCAGGCUGGCCUUGAACUCACUUUGUAGCCAGGCUGGCCUCCAACCCAUGGCAAUACUCCUGCCUCAGGCUCCCAAGUGCUGGGAUUACAAGCAUGAACAUGCCUAGCUCUCCAACAGUUUUCUUUAGAGGUGUCUUUCUUUUGCCUCCCCUGUAGGGCCACGUUGAAGGAACUUUUGUAGAGUUAGAAACAAUUGUUGUGUCCUUGUGUUUAGUUGGGCUGGCUGCUCAAAGCUUCUGCCACUGGUCUCCUUUUAAAAAACAGCAAGCCCUCUGACCUUUUCUGCCCCUGCAUUCGUAAGUGAUCAGGGGGUGCCCAUUCCCUGGUCAUUGGUAUUGCAGGCAGAGGAAAUACGGAAAGAAUUGUCCUGUGUUUGGAGGGUCUGCGUGCUUGCCUUCCAGUGCUAGGAGCUUUCCCACACUCUUGCUUCUCAUCAUACAGCUUGGGCUUUGGAGCUGCUAUGUGAGCAUUACUGUCAUUGUUGGAACUUUCACUUCCUGCCCCCUGCUUUUGGGAACUAGGCCAUGUGUGUUGCUUAAGUUCCCCUUGACAGCCAGCAGAGUCACUACCACUCAGCCAAUCUGUGGUUAUGUAUUAAUCAGUAUUAGCUACCCUGCCAUAGGCCAUCUCUCUCUCUUUAGUUAACUCUUAUUUUCAUAAAGAAAUAUUGUGUUUGCUUAGGAAGUAAUAGUCACUGCGUUUGGAAUGCCUACUGUCUGGUAACUACUAUGUUAAUUCUUUUCCUGGUGGCUUUCAUGUCCAUGCUGCUGGAUGCUCACCAAUUAUUCCUGUCUCUUGCAGGUGUCCCGGAGUUGUCCUGUCAGGAACACCUUAGACCCCAGUGUCAUUGAGGGAUGCUGCGCUGGAACUGGAGAUUGCUGAAGGAAGGCCCUGGAAUAGAGGCACUGACCCUGUCAGGAUGAUGAAUGGGGUUCCUGCUCUGAAGGGAUCUCCUCAUGUUGGUUGUGGUGUUGAUUGUGGACACUGGCAUAGCAGAGUGAAGAGUGUCAUUGUCACACGACGCAUUCCAGACCUUAGUGCAGUGGCCUCAGCACAACACAGAGCACCUUUUUACUCUGCAUGAGCAAGCGGAGGGGAAGGCCUGGACUCUGAGGACUUGGGGUCCAGAGGUGGAGACCUUCCAGCUGGUUCUACCCCAUCCCAGCAGAGCCACAGAGCAUCAUAGACGGGAAGACCAGUCUUCCUUCAACUGGCCACCUCCCAGUCUUGCCUACUCCUGGUGUAACUUGUAGACCCAAGAGAUCCUGGUGAAGUUUUCUAUACCCUGCACAACCUCAAUAAAUUGUCCACCUCAAUAAAUUUUGAAACAUGCUGUGCUGUGUAUUUUUUGGGUUUUGUUUGUUUACCAAAAUACCCAUGUGUACCAGCUAGGCUGGGUAUAGAGAAGGUAGUCACAGGGUGAAUCUUCCAGUUUUCACUUACUGAGAAUUCCCACUUAGCAUGCUCCUAAGUGGGAUGUGACCUAGGGAAUUUGAGGUAGGAGGUAGGAUUUGGACUAGAGGUUGAACAAUGCCACAUGCAUCUGGGGGCUCAGGCUUAGGAGAGAAAGAGAACUGUUAAAACUAAGUUGCCUGAGCAACAUUUGGGCCAGGGAUUUGGAAGAGAAGAUGAUAAUGG
Long non-coding RNA from Heterocephalus glaber (naked mole-rat), 3669 nucleotides. The record is from Ensembl. NCBI's taxonomy places the organism in Eukaryota, Metazoa, Chordata, Mammalia, Rodentia, Bathyergidae.